UACGUAGGCAGCAAGCGUUGUUCGGAAUUACUGGGCGUAAAGAGUGUGUAGGCGGUGCUCUAAGUUCGGUGUGAAAUCUCCCGGCUCAACUGGGAGGGUGCGCCGGAAACUGGGGUGCUGGAGCGCGGGAGAGGAAAGCGGAAUUCCUGGUGUAGCGGUGAAAUGCGUAGAUAUCGGAAGGAACACCUGUGGCGAAAGCGGCUCACUGGACCAUAACUGACGCUGAGGCGCGAAAGCUAGGGGAGCAAACAGG
Molecule: ribosomal RNA, 253 nt
Filed under: uncultured bacterium
Lineage: Bacteria
Description: partial 16S ribosomal RNA
Rfam family: Bacterial small subunit ribosomal RNA
Source: RNAcentral